This 64-nucleotide transfer RNA is filed under the name Tagiades tethys. RNAcentral describes it as "Daimio tethys tRNA-Ser". Lineage: Eukaryota; Metazoa; Arthropoda; Insecta; Lepidoptera; Hesperiidae. The record is from RNAcentral.
AAUUAAUGAGCUUGUAAAAGCAUUUGUUUUGAAAACUUAAGAAAGAAUUCAUUUCUAUUAAUUU